CGGGAGGCUGGCGCGGGCGGUGUCUUCGCCAACCCGGUCAGGACCGAAAGGUAGCAGCCGUAACGAAAUUCCCCGGGUCGUGUCCAGUCUCUCACUU
RNAcentral lists this signal recognition particle RNA (97 nucleotides) under Pseudomonadota bacterium. Its description in RNAcentral is "signal recognition particle sRNA small type". It matches the Rfam family "Bacterial small signal recognition particle RNA". Rfam says of the family: The signal recognition particle (SRP) is a universally conserved ribonucleoprotein involved in the co-translational targeting of proteins to membranes. The record is from RNAcentral. Lineage: Bacteria; Pseudomonadati; Pseudomonadota. RNAcentral also lists the same sequence under 1 other name.